AUCCAGCUGAUGAGUCCCAAAUAGGACAAAGUGUACGUACUGGAU
RNAcentral lists this non-coding RNA (45 nucleotides) under Schistosoma mansoni. Lineage: Eukaryota; Metazoa; Platyhelminthes; Trematoda; Strigeidida; Schistosomatidae. The record is from RNAcentral.